Molecule: unclassified non-coding RNA, 403 nt
Filed under: Hevea brasiliensis (rubber tree)
Lineage: Eukaryota; Viridiplantae; Streptophyta; Magnoliopsida; Malpighiales; Euphorbiaceae
Source: RNAcentral
GAAUUUAGUUGGAAAGUUCAGGUUCAGAAUGGUAUAGCUAUGGGAAGUAAAAUAAGUACAAGAAGCAGGGUUUUGGGGACUGUUUGUAGGAGUGAAUUACUCAAAGUGAAGAUUAGAAUAGUUUAGAUUGCACACGUAAACAUCCGUAGGCAUCAUAACCAAGAGUAGAGUUGUAUCAACAACUCAAGAGACAAAAGUGCAAGAAUUCUUACUCAUAAAAAAACUGAGUAACAACAGUACAAACUUGGGUAUUUAUAUACUCAAAAAGUUAAUCCUUGUCCGUUAAGGAUUUGGUCUCUAAAACUAAACCUUAUGUAAUCUAAAUUAAAGACACUUAUAAAAAUCUAGAACUUUCUGUGUAAUCUGAAAUUACAAAAAUACCCGUCUUCUAGAAAGUCAAAAU